Long non-coding RNA from Salarias fasciatus (jewelled blenny), 873 nucleotides. RefSeq lists it as uncharacterized. NCBI's taxonomy places the organism in Eukaryota, Metazoa, Chordata, Actinopteri, Blenniiformes, Blenniidae. The transcript is spliced from 3 exons. The record is from RefSeq and is a predicted model, not a curated record.
UUAGGACGGUUCUACAGGUUGAUCAUCAAGAUAAACACUCAUUUCUGUGUCAGAGAAUCAGGAGCAGCAGCAGUCGGUCUGUUCUCACAUUUAAGAUCUACAAUGAACCAGAAACCACCGAGUUCUGAACUCAACCGGAACUUUGUGGUCUCUCUUUGUGGCGGGAAGACUGACACAAAUCUCUUUCUUCACUGGAAGUUCCUUCGAUGAGACGCAGCACUUCACACCUGGAACUCAGUCAACAUGGUGAAACUCGCUCUGCUGUGUUUCUGUCACUGCUGCUGUUGGACAUCGGUGCAGCUGGAGGUUCAGUCCAGACAAUCACAGCAGCUGUUGGACAAAAUGUCACUCUGCCGUGUCAAGUUCUAAACUACAGUGGAACCUUCAACGCUGUAAUGUGGAACAGACCAGACCUGGAGAAGAACCACUAUGUUUUUUUAUUCAAAGACGGACACAUUGAUCCAGAAGACCAGCAUGAUAUUUACAAGAACCGAGUGCAGCUGAAGGACAGAACGAUGAAGGACGGAGACGUGAGUCUGAUCCUGAAGAACGUGACCUUCAAUGACCGUGGGAAAUACGAGUGUUUCAUCCAGAGAGAAACCAAUAAUACGGACACAGACAACAAUGAGCUGAUCACCUCCAUCUCUCUCUCAGUGGUUCCUCCAGGAGACACUGGAGGACGAGGAGGGAGUGGAGGACAUGUUGGUCUGAGUGCUGGUCUGACUGUAGCUGCUCUGGUUGGUGUUGGAGCUAUUUUUGGUGUUGUGAUGUUUCUAAGACACCAGAAGAAGAAGAAGAACUCUCCUCCUCCUGCUGCUCCAGAACCAGAUAUGAUGUUGAUUUAGGUUCACUCUGAGACACACUAGAGCAGGG